Molecule: ribosomal RNA, 301 nt
Filed under: uncultured bacterium
Lineage: Bacteria
Description: partial 16S ribosomal RNA
Rfam family: Bacterial small subunit ribosomal RNA
Source: RNAcentral
CAGUAGCCGCGGUAAUACGUAGGUGGCAAGCGUUGUCCGGAAUUAUUGGGCGUAAAGGGCUCGCAGGCGGUUUCUUAAGUCUGAUGUGAAAGCCCCCGGCUCAACCGGGGAGGGUCAUUGGAAACUGGGAAACUUGAGUGCAGAAGAGGAGAGUGGAAUUCCACGUGGAGCGGUGAAAUGCGUUGAGAUCGGAAAGAACACCAACGGCGAAAGCACUCUGCUGGGCCGACACUGACACUGAGAGACGAAAGCUAGGGGAGCAAAUGGGAUUAGAUACCCCGGUAGUCCCUGUCUCUUAUAC